Molecule: long non-coding RNA, 2022 nt
Organism: Felis catus (domestic cat)
Lineage: Eukaryota; Metazoa; Chordata; Mammalia; Carnivora; Felidae
Exons: 2
Source: RefSeq, a predicted model, not a curated record
AAUAAAAUAUUAAAAACAAUCUUAAAACCAUCUAUUUCACUAGUGAAAACAGAAAUAUGACCAGUAAUUCCACUGUAUGGAAUGCCUUCCUCGUGCACGACAUCAUCUAAUACUUUGGCAGUGCUUAUGAGGUGGUGUGUUCCUUUCCUUUGGUUAGUGAGCACCCUGCGAGGUCCAGUGCCUGCUCCGGCACAUUCUGCGUCUCCAAACCACUGGGAUCUUACUUUUGGGUCAACCCCUAACGACUUCCAUCCUGUCUCCUCCACUCAUUAGUACAUAAUGAUGUUUAUAAGCCCUGGCCCGAGAAUCUGGAGGCCAGGGUUUUAAUCCUGGGUCCUAUUUAUUAAUUGUGUGAGCCUCUGUGUAUUUCUUCACCUCUUUGACCCUCAGUUUCCUGGUCUCCAAAUCAGAGGAUGUAAAUGGGGCUCUCCGGGAUGCUGGGAGGGGAAAGGUGGCAGGGAUGCAGGGACGCAAAAGGACCGGGAUGGGCCCAUGCUGGGAAUGAGCGCUUUGCUCUCCCUCCUCCCUUGGUUCUCCGACUCCUUAGAUUCCAGGGAGGGGAGCCGCACCUGUCACAGUGCGCGGUUCCUGGCCCCAUCAGGGCUCACGGUGGGGCUGGCCCUUGAAGGGAUUUGCGGGCCGGCUAUCCCAGAGGAGGACACCAGAGGGCGCCCCGCACCGUCGCCCGCCUGCUUGGCUGCGUGUGCGGAGCAGUUACCGCCGGACCGCGCGGCACCCACGCCCAGUUGAGGUCGGUUCUGAGUUGAAAUCAGGAGUUCCGUGUGCUUGCAAGUCUCGUCACCGCUUGGGGCGGUAAAGAACCGAGCAGGAUUUAGGUGGCAGGGCAAACUGUCUGCCUUCAGAGCGCGUGUGCCUGUAAGACCCUCUAGCUCCUUGGAAACAAGAACCCAGAGGCAAGUGCAGAGGCUGCGUCCGCGGCCCCUGCUCCUCCCUGCUGCUCCCGUACCCGAAGCCCCAGCCGUGUGGCGCGCGCCUGGGAAGUGGGCCCUGAACCCAGGAGGGCCGGCGUGUCUCAGGCACAAACUGCCCGGCCCUGGCCUCUUAGCACACGGGAGGCCACACAUCGGAAGGGACGAGAGGGCUGCCUUCCAGCUGUGGCCAUGACCUUGCCAAUACAGAGGAGGAAGCCAGCUCAGCACCGCGGUCCGUAGGCACAGGGAUGGUUCCCAGGGAUGGGCAGGAGCGCGCUCGCGGCUCCCGGCCGAAGAAGGCGUGAAGACACGGCGUAAAUUUGGGAAAGCUUUUGAGGUUAACGUGGCUACCAUAAGGCGUCGGUCGAUGAACAGGCCGGCCUGACCGGGUCAUCUAGAAAUGUCACUUAAGCAGCAUCUUAUUCACUGAUGACGCCCGGGACCCUGAGAACGUGUUGGUUUGUGAUGACAAGGGUCGCGUGAAGGUCUUCUGUGCCUUACAGGCUUUAACGGGUGAUCAUGGUUUUUAAACACUCCCCCAACGCCUCCUGGUUGUUGCCCUGGGCUCCCCCGCGCAUAGCCGCACCUCUGUGUCACACAAGAACAGAGGUGGGAGAGCCAGCAUCUGGGGACUCCAAGGGGACUGCCUCCGGGCCACGUGACAGGCACAGCGUGCCGGAAGCCAAGCGUGGCAGGUGGAACAGCAGACAGACCAUCGAAUGCUGACGACGGCGGGACUCCCCCAGCUGCCGGGCCCAGCCCCUCACCUCACAGAGGCAUUCAUUGCUUUGCAGCCUCCGUGUCUGCACGCUUACGCUCUGCAGGGUGCCCACGACGAGGUAUUGCUCCCGGGUCCCACCCCGUCUCUGUCGCUCUGCCUUCACGCGAGGCUGAGAUUGACCAGCAGCUCGAACUGCAGCUGUUUGCAGGAACAUGCAACCUGCACCAGGUUCGAAAUACGAAACCCAGCAAACUUGCUGGGAGGUGUUCUUGGGACUCGUACGUCAUGCGUGCAUCUUAGGCUCGGAGCUGUGGCUUUUGAAAUAGAUGCAGUGAUGCCUGAUUUGUGCCCCUGGGUGGCGCAGUCUUA